RNAcentral lists this unclassified non-coding RNA (238 nucleotides) under Hevea brasiliensis (rubber tree). Lineage: Eukaryota; Viridiplantae; Streptophyta; Magnoliopsida; Malpighiales; Euphorbiaceae. The record is from RNAcentral.
GGAAUGUUGAAUUACAUAUAUAUGUCUUCUGCAUCUGUUAUAUUAGUCCUCUAAUUAGUACAUAAAUGUACAUAUAGUGAGAGAUGAUAAUAAAGUUUUAGGUCAUGGUUUAUGGUUUUUCUAUUAAGGUUUGAAGUUAACAUGUUAAACGAAAGCUGUUGAAGCAGAGUUUGUCAUCAUUAAUGGCCUCCAACAGCCUCUCUCUCAUGAGAAAAGAAAAUGGAAAGCAAGAGGAUUA